This 255-nucleotide long non-coding RNA is filed under the name Nicotiana benthamiana. Its description in RNAcentral is "long non-coding RNA (NBEN_LNC018425)". The record is from RNAcentral. Lineage: Eukaryota; Viridiplantae; Streptophyta; Magnoliopsida; Solanales; Solanaceae.
GCUGUAGUUCAGGGUGGUCGUUUGGUGGCUGGCCGGCGGGGUUAUACUUCUACUAAGGUGUCCUAGGGUUUUUGGUUGUUGCCUCCAUUGUUGUCAAGAAGAAUGUGAUGAAGGGAGGUUCUUUGGGUGAGGGAGUCAGAGUUUUUGGGUUGGUGGGAUGGCUGCUCCUCUUAGUCCCUAUGGUUAGCUCUUGUCUCUUUAAGAAUGAAGAAGAAGACCCUCCUCAAGUCUUUCUAGGGUUUGUUAAGUUUUGGG